This 503-nucleotide ribosomal RNA is filed under the name uncultured bacterium. RNAcentral's name for it is "partial 16S ribosomal RNA". It matches the Rfam family "Bacterial small subunit ribosomal RNA", at positions 30 to 523 of the family's 1533-position model. The record is from RNAcentral.
AUUGAACGCUGGCGGCAGGCUUAACACAUGCAAGUCGAGCGGGGUGAUGGUGCUUGCACUAUCACUUAGCGGCGGACGGGUGAGUAAUGCUUAGGAAUCUGCCUAUUAGUGGGGGACAACAUCUCGAAAGGGAUGCUAAUACCGCAUACGUCCUACGGGAGAAAGCAGGGGAUCACUUGUGACCUUGCGCUAAUAGAUGAGCCUAAGUCGGAUUAGCUAGUUGGUGGGGUAAAGGCCUACCAAGGCGACGAUCUGUAGCGGGUCUGAGAGGAGGCUCCGCCACACUGGGGCUGAGACACGGCCCAGACUCCUACGGGAGGCAGCAGUGGGGAAUAUUGGACAAUGGGGGGAACCCUUAUCCAGCCAUGCCGCGUGUGUGAAGAAGGCCUUAUGGUUGUAAAGCACUUUAAGCGAGGAAGAGGCUCUUUUGGUUAAUACCCAGAAUGAGUGGACGUUACUCGCAGAAUAAGCACCGGCUAACUCUGUGCCAGCCGCCGCAGUAA